RNAcentral lists this ribosomal RNA (598 nucleotides) under Pseudomonas sp. RB001. RNAcentral describes it as "bacterial SSU rRNA". It matches the Rfam family "Bacterial small subunit ribosomal RNA", at positions 53 to 649 of the family's 1533-position model. The record is from RNAcentral. Lineage: Bacteria; Pseudomonadati; Pseudomonadota; Gammaproteobacteria; Pseudomonadales; Pseudomonadaceae.
CCAUGCAGUCGAACGGUAACAGGUCUUCGGAUGCUGACGAGUGGCGAACGGGUGAGUAAUACAUCGGAACGUGCCUAGUAGUGGGGGAUAACUACUCGAAAGAGUAGCUAAUACCGCAUGAGAUCUACGGAUGAAAGCAGGGGACCUUCGGGCCUUGUGCUACUAGAGCGGCUGAUGGCAGAUUAGGUAGUUGGUGGGGUAAAGGCUUACCAAGCCUGCGAUCUGUAGCUGGUCUGAGAGGACGACCAGCCACACUGGGACUGAGACACGGCCCAGACUCCUACGGGAGGCAGCAGUGGGGAAUUUUGGACAAUGGGCGAAAGCCUGAUCCAGCAAUGCCGCGUGCAGGAUGAAGGCCCUCGGGUUGUAAACUGCUUUUGUACGGAACGAAAAGCCUGGGGCUAAUAUCCCCGGGUCAUGACGGUACCGUAAGAAUAAGCACCGGCUAACUACGUGCCAGCAGCCGCGGUAAUACGUAGGGUGCAAGCGUUAAUCGGAAUUACUGGGCGUAAAGCGUGCGCAGGCGGUUUUGUAAGACAGUGGUGAAAUCCCCGGGCUCAACCUGGGAACUGCCAUUGUGACUGCAAGGCUAGAGUGC